Molecule: non-coding RNA, 33122 nt
Organism: Rattus norvegicus (Norway rat)
Lineage: Eukaryota; Metazoa; Chordata; Mammalia; Rodentia; Muridae
Source: RefSeq, a predicted model, not a curated record
GGUUCCGGGUGUGUGUGCAACCUCACUCAUCUGUACGUGUCCCAAAAGAGCGUGGUGAAUAAAUCAAACACUGAGUAGCAUUUGAAGAACCUGGGGGAGGGUGGUCACCUGGUAAGAGUUGAGAGGUACACAGAUCCAGCCCACGGAGGACCCUGCAAACACUAGGCAAAGAACCAGCUUCCCAGAGAUCAUUCUGGUUACUAUGUGAGGAAGACAGAAAUACAUUUUUGUGUAAAAAAUAUGGUUAGGCAGAAAGGCCACCACAGUCAAGCCUCCAAAAAGAGUCUAGUUAAUAGGAAAAUUGAAGCCGGACCGAGGCCUGGGAGGGAGGGAAACUGCCUUGCUUUGCCAGUAUGGUUUUGCCUGGUGGUUAGAAUUUCCUUGUUUGGCUAAUUUCAGAGUCUCAAGGACUGGAGUUCUCAGAAAUGUGUGUACUUGACCUUCUGUCUUGGGACACAAACAUGGUGUCCCCAGGCUUUUUCAGUGGGUCUUGGGUACAGGGUGAUGUGAUCCAGACCACAGGAACUCCAGUGCCAGCCUGCUGCCAGUCCCCAGUGGUGCCCUGUUGCUAUGAACACAGGCACAGGAGUCCAGGGCAUGUUUGGACACUUCCCAGGGCCAGUCCCUAUGCCUUCCCAAAGCCCAGGAACAAAUGAAGCUUAAAGGGAAGAAUGGAGCCUCACAGACAGGGCAGUACCUCUGACCUCAAAAAAUGCUGCAGAAUGAUCGUGGUCAGACUGUUGGAAGUUCAGCGGUUUUGAGCACGUGGCCGCUACAGUGGAAAAGACUGGACGGUCAAUGAGGUGUUUUGCUGGACCUACAGUUUAGCAGGGAAAUGGGAAAGAAAGAGGCAAAGUGGCUGGAAAGAUGGUUAAGAGCACCAGAAGGUCUUGUGCAGGGCCUGGGUUGGAUUCCCAGCACCCACAGAGGCUCACAGCCAUUUGUAACUCCAGUUCUAGGGAAUCCAACUUGCUCUUCCAGCCUCUGUAUGGCUCACACGUGGUACACAGACAGACAUGAGAGCAAAACACUCAUACAUAUAGAUAUAAAAAUUAAAACAAAAAGAAAACAUUUUUAAGAGCCGAGCCUGGGACUCCCGGCCAGCCUGCUUAUCCUACUUGGAGAGCUUCAGGCUACCGAGAGACAGUCUCAAAAUAUAUGGACAUCACCUGAGGAAAGGACACUUGAGGUUGACCUAUGGCCUUCACACACAUACGUGUGUGGUGCACAUAGGUACACAUACAUGUGUACAUGGGUUCACAUAAGCACAGCCACACAAAAUCUCCAGUUGGGGGGUGAAUAAAAUGGCCACAUAGACAUCCUUCUUGCUGGUAAAAGAAGGUCUUCCAGCUCGAGAGCAUGGAAGUCUGUAUUGCUCCCUCCUUGAGCCAGAUUUCUGGGAAGUUUCCACAGCUUUUUCCCGCUCCGUUCCUCCUCUUCAGAGGUCCCCUGGUCACCUGGACUAUGGACAACAUCUUGUCAGUGAAAGGUCUAGGGCUUGGCCCACUGGGGUCAUCAGCAUGAGGCCCAGAGCCAAGCCAGGGGCUCCAUUUCCAGUUCUUCUUUCAGGGGGAAUCAUCUGAUACACCCAGCCCGCACUGUCCUGCAGCCUGGAUAGUCACAAACAAAGCAGGGGAUUCUAACUCAGAGACCCAACCCCCGUCUACACUAACAUUGGUAAUUGCUCUUCUACUAAAAGAGAGGGAGAGAGGGAGGGAGAGAGACGGGGAGAUAAUAAAACUUAUCUUUAACUGGCUCCAGAAAACCCCAUAAAAGGCCGGUGCAUUCCUCAGAGUUUCCCACGAGCUGUCUUCCAUGUGUUCACUACAGCCAAUGUUCAAAUUCCCAGGGUCAGGGAGACACCUGGGAAAACUGAAAGUACAAACAAGACCUGAGUCGGUGGUCAGGAGAAGGAGGUUCCAGCCGCAGUGACCUCAGUGGCCCCAUCAGUGGGCACCCCCACUCUCUGGGUCUUAGUUUCCUCAGGUGUAAGUUAAAAAACCAGGAGAUUAUAUCCUACUGCCUAACUCUUCAGUGUGUAGGAACCUUGUUCUUAGCUUUCUGCCUCCUGGGCUGAGGUGUAUCUCAGAGGUCGAGCUCUAGCCUGGCAUGCACAGGCCUUGGGGUUCACCCCUAACCUUAGAAAAAAUAUUUCCCUGUCUUCUCUUUUAUUCAUUUUAAGAUUUUAUUUUUAACUACGUGGAUGUGUGGAGGUGCAUACAAGAGUGCCGUGCCUUCAGAGGCCAGAAGAGAGCAUCGGAUCUUUUGGAGUUGGGAUGACAGGUGGUUGUGAGCUGCCAGUGUGAGCGUUGGGAACUGACCUUGAGCCCUCCAGGAGGGCAGCAAGCAUUCUUAACUGCUGAGCCCCCAUUAUAGACUUCCCAGCUUUAUUAAAUCUGAUCCCUUGUCUUUAAAAGGUUUUAUAAAUAAGACCUCACGUCUUUGCUUGAAUGUGGCACUCCUACCCAAACUAAACCCAGCAGAAACCAUGCUCCAGACUGGUCUUCUCAGUCAGACCCCUCCCCUUCCCUCUUACCGAGGUAGGACAGUUUAUGGUGAGACUUAAAUGCCAGUUUUUCCUUCCUCUUAUCAUCGGGCCAUGUCCCUCUGCACUUGGAAGGAGGGCUGCCUCCCACCAUCCCACCCCCUCUCUGAGUCUCCCCUGUCUUGUCUCCCUCUGUGUUCUGUUCUCUUCUGGAAGCUUUGGGUUCUGUGUGGCAGCCCAUGGCUUCCUGGGUAUGUGCAGGGAAGCAUCCAUGAGGCUCUUCACUUGCUCACUCAAGAGAGAAUGUGUAACUUCACCAGCUGCUAAAGGAUGUUCCAACACACACACACACACACACACACACACACACACACACACACACACACACACAACACAUGGCUGUCAUGAGCAGCCGACGCCAAGCUUCUGAUGCUCAAAAGGAAAAUUUUAGGCUGUGGUGUGAGUGACAAAGCACACUCAAUCUGCCCUUGACCUUCUGUCUGCUUCCACUCAGAGAGACAGUCUCCUUAAAACACAUUCUACUUAGAACGCUGCGAUUGGACUGCAUCACCCACUAACCAUGUGCUGGGAGAGGUGACUCUGUCCUUAAGGUGCUUCCCUUGCUUGGCUAGCAUGAGGACCUGGGUUGGAUCCUCAGAGACUAUGUCAAGAGAGGGGGAAGGAGGGAAACACCCUGAGGAGAGGGUUCAGUGUCUGAGACCAUUUGCUAAGCCUGAGUUCAAAUCCCCAGUAGCCAUGUAAAAAACAUGGGUGGGGCCACAUGUACCUGUUACUCUGGUGCUACGAGGCAGAGACAGGUCUAAACUGGGAGCUUGCUGGUCAACCAGCCUAGCCCAAAAUAGUGAGCUCCCUGUCUUUAAGGGGAUAAGGUGGAGAGUAAUAAAGCAGGACAUCUAAUAUCCUCUGCCAGCCUCUGUGGGUACAUACCUCCCCUCCUCAUCCAUCCAUCCAUCCAUGCAUCCACCCCUCCUCCCCUCACAGGCAUAGUGUGGUGUUACUGGGGAGGUAGAAACAGAAAAAUCUCUUGGGCUUGCUAGUCAGAUAGUCUAGCCUAAUUAGCAAACCCCAGGCCAUGGAGAAAUCCUGUACAUAUAUACAUGCAUACAUACAUACAUACAUACAUACAUACAUACUGUAUAUGAUUACUGAGAAAUGACACCUGAGAUUGUCCUCAGAUCUCUAUAUGCAUACAUAUACAUGCUAAAUGUUCACAUUUACCUGCAUAAAUGAACACACACACACAGACACACACACACACACACACACACACUCACAGCAAGAGGUCAAUGGUCAGUUUCAGGUCUUUCCCUCAACUGCUUCUCCACUUUAUUUUCUGAGACAGGAUGGGUGUCUCGGGGAACUGGAGCUCCCUGGUUCAGCUAAACCGGCUGACCAGCAAGCACCUAGGGUCUGCUGUCAAUAACUCCUGCCUCCUAGUGCUGGGGUUACAGAGAUGCACCACUAUGCCUGGCUUUGUAUGCAGGUGCUGGGGCUUGAAUGUAGGUCCUUACCCAUUGAGCCAUUUCCCCCAGCCCCGUCUUCCAUAAUAAUAGCACUGCUUAGAAACUCUGGAAACAUGAAAACUAUUGAAGUUCUCAGAAGAUGGUGCCAGCUUUUUCUAGGUUUCUGUCUCCAUGUAGUGAAAGUGCAGAUAUCUGUGGGGUUUUUUGCAUGUAUACAGGGAAAUAUGUCCAGUUAUAAUGGCAGCAAACAGGAUGGUGUCUGACUCAGGCUGUGGUGACAACUCAUCUUGCUUGUCACCUGACACGCCUGGGAAAAGGGGGUCUCAAUUGAGAAAUUGCCUCCAUCAGAUUGGGCUGUAGGAACUAUUGAUUGAUAAUUGACUUAGGAGCACCCAGCCCACUGUGGGUGGUCCCAUUCCCUAGGUAGGCGGUCUUGGGUUGUUUAAGAAAACCAACUGAGCACAAGCCAGAGAAGGAAAGUCAGUAAGCAGCAUUCCAUCAUCGUUUCUGUUCACUCCAUGUUCCUGCUUAGAUCUUUCCCUGACUCUCCUCAGCGAUGGACUUUGAUGUGAAAGUGUAAGUCAGAUAAACCCUUUCCUCCUCAAGUAACUUUUGGUCACUAUGCUUAUGGGUUCCUAUAACAGCGGCUAUGGGCAUCUGUAGUGAAAUUGCCACUAAUCCACGGUGAGCUUCUAACCACACGGACAGAGCCUUAUAUGUAAUGUGAAGAGGUGAAGAAGUACAGUUACCUUUGUAUAGUGCCUGAUACACAGUGAAUAGGCCACAAACACCGGACGUUGAAGUACAAACAUGCAGUUACCACUGAGACCACCAGAUGGCGACACAUCAAAGGUCACUAUAAAACAAGACUCAGGCCUGGACUUUUCAAAAGGAAAGAAGAAAGAGUACUUGAACCUGGAGAUGGCAGGGGAAGCACAGGUGGCAUUUUUUCUUGGUUUUAUUCUGGCCCUUUAUCAUAUUAGAUAGAUGGAUCAUAAACUUUCAAAGUAGUAACUUGAGAGCUGCAAAGCCUCUUUCUUGACCUGUGUGUGCUCACUGACUCUUAGGAAGUUAGAGUUAGUCUGAGGACUAAAAUACUUUGUCCAUAAAGAUAGUAAGUGGUCCCAUCUGGUUGCUAUGUAACAAGUCCUGGCCAGGAAUAUUUACAUUUCCAUGUAGUUCUCCAUACCUCCCCACCAAGUGUGUGACUGGGAAAUGGACUUCUGGAGACAGAGAUGCCAGGGUUGGUGGUGGUGGUGGUGGUGAUGGUAGGGUGUCAAUUAAUCUUGCUCUUGGCUUCAGAAGUCUCCUCUGUGGUAAUUGCUUGACCUCCAUGACCCUGGGCAAAGCAUCAUGGCAGCAUGGAUGUGUGGAGAAGGCUCUCCGCCUCACAGUAGCUAAGAGUGAAGUGAGCAUGAGGUCCUGAGUUUGAAUCACUCCGGUGACAACAGGGUGCGCUGCACAUAACUGUAGCCCCAGCACUGUGGCAGAUGGAGCCUAAUGCGUAAGAUUGUAAGCCUCUGGCUCAGUGAGAGACUCUCUGGUAGCAGUAAUGCAGAAAGUGGGAGAUGAGACACCCAGUGCCUUCCUGUGUCUUCCUGCAGGAUCUGCACAAGACCACACACCCGUACUCACAUUCAUGAAUGCACCACACACACACACACACACACACACACACACACACACACACACACACACACACACAGAGAGAGAGAGAGAGAGAGAGGAGAGAGAGAGGCUACGAAGAGAGGGAACUACCUUGCUGAAGAGAGGGAACUACCUCCUCAGCACUCAAGUGGAAAAGCCAGGCCUGGUGGCUUAUAAUCUCAUCCCUGGGGAUAGAUAAAGAGAUGGGGUUAGGGGUGGGGGUGGAGCUCGCCAGCUAUUGUCCUUGUUGAGCUCUGGGCCAAGGAAAGACCCUGUCUCCAAAGAAGGAGGUGAAUGGCGCCUGGGGAACGGCAGCAAGCUUGUCUUGUCUCUCACACAGAAGUCCUAGCUUCUUAUUUAGUCCCCUGUGCCUCCACGCCCCUUCACCUCACAGCCACCACUGAAGCCCCAUGUGUGAGGGAGCAAAAGUGCCUCUCUGAACGGUCACAGUCCCGUAGGCUCUGAGCUUGGCUGUCAGGACAAUAGUUUGUUAUAAAUUAAAAAAACAACAACAACAACAAAACAAACAAACAAAAACACACUUUUUACCCAGUCUCAGGUCCUACUGAUACCGUGGCUGAUACCAUACUAUUACUAUGUCACUAGAGUCACUAAACCACCCUUUCUCGGAGGCCUCCCUAACCAUAUUCAAUCCUAAGUAGACCUCAGUGCUAGACCCACUCAGGUAGACCUACUCAGUGGGACACAGCUUAGACUCUCAGUUCCCUGCUUCCUACUCCACUCCUCCCACUCGGGCUAGGCAGUCUGGAGACCACCCCACACCCAUCCCAUUUACAAAUAGCUUUCACAUUUCCCAGCCACCUCUGGCAGACAUUGACCGAGUCCUUCCCUAUCUUAGUGCCCAAGGCUCUGAGAGGAGGCUCAUACUCUGCUUUUCUUUCCACACCCGUGGCCUGCAGAGAAUCAACCUCGGGGGCCUUUGCCGAUGACCUCAUGGGGAAUUGCUGCCUGCAGACUUCCUGUUUUUAUAUUCCUUUCUCCUCUGCUUAUUUUUCCUACUUUGCUGGGUUUUGUGCAUUUCUAUCUUGCCUCCCUUAACCCAGCUUGCAAAAACUCAACUUUUUUUUUUCUCUGUGAUUAUUUUAAAUACAUGUUUAGAUAAGGAAAGGAAUGCACCCCCCCCCCUCUCCCAUUUGAGGAAUUGCAUCGAAUGGUGUCUUUCUCUCUUCCUGUCCCCCUCCCUAUUCCCCAUGGCUUAUUCCCACACUGCAGUCUUCAGCUUCCACAGCUUAGAAGGGACAAACUCCAAGACCUGGAUCUGCCAGUGCCACACCAGGGUGCUCUGUCUCUCACUGACGGAGACCCUCUGCUGGAUGCCACAGGAGACAGAGAGACCUCCAGCUUCCCACAGUUGAUCUCCUGAGCGCUCUAAAAUACAAUGCAGAGUUCCUGAUUCAAAACCACACGGGCUCUCCACUUCUUCGAGCCUGAGUCCAAAUUCUUGGCGUAUGUGGAAAUACUCCACAGCUGGCCCAGUGUGACUCCACCUCUGGUCUCGUGGUUGGUCCGUGUGCUUCCGUCCCAGGUUUCCAGCUCUUGUUCUUUCCCUACAGUUCUCAGCCACCCCCUCUCUGUCCCCUACAUGCUAAGAAUAAAUACAUCUAUAUUGACCCUAAUGGUUUAGAACCAUCUUAUCGUUCUGUUUUCCUACCUUUUUGCUGGAUUGGUUGUGUUUACAGGCACUUACUUGGGUUUAUUUUCUCCCAUCCCAGCCCUAACCAGGACCAGUCUGGCUUUGCUUUGGGGAUUGGAAGACAGUGGGUACAUUUAGGUGGUAUGCAGAUGUGUGUUUAAUUUGGAAGCAAGUGGCUUUCUCUGUGAUUCUCUCUCUCUCUCUCUCUCUCUCUCUCUCUCUCUCUCUCUCUCUCUCUCUUUCUCUCUCUCUCUCUCUCUCUCUCUCUAUCUCUCUCACUCUCUCUCUCUCUCUGCCGUGUGUGUGUGUGUGUGUGUGUGUGUGUGUGUGUGUGUGAUAAACAGACAGACAGACAGAGACAGAGACAGAGACAGAGAGACAGAUUUUGCUCAUUGUUGUCUUUGGAUAUGGUUGUCUCCUACAGCCUGUGAAGCAAGGCCCUGGGGGAAGGAAUGAACUGGAAAGGUUGGCCGCUCACACGCUGAUCUCCCAAAGCAGAGAGCACGGAUCAUUUAACAAGAACCCAGAAUCUGGGGCAGGUGGGGGAAAGAAAUACCAUCUUCAGAGCCUUACCUUGUUAAAGAUUCAGAUUCCUGGGCCGGAGCUCCAUACCUUGUAAAUAUAAGUCUCAGGAAUAGGCCCCAGGAAUCUGCCUGUUUAUGAAGCACUGAGAUUUGGUUGCCCCAGUGUGACACCAUGACCCAGGGGCUCCGGGAGGUGGAGUCCUCCAGGCAUUCGACCCCAAGUGUAUACUUUCAGUGGCUGCUGUAUGGCUCUUGUCAAUAUUUCCAUCCCUUGGUGUUUCUGACACAGGCAGCACUGUCCACUUGGAGAGACCCUUUCCCCCCUCCCAGCCUGUGCUACCACACGCUUGCUCCUGGUGCCUAUCUUAGUCUUUCAGCGGCUCCUUUCCACAAUAUAUCUGGCUCCAUUUCAUCCACAGGCUCUUUUGCUCUUGGGAUUUUCCCCAGAUCCUGUCCUUGACUUUGUCCUUGGCAUUCUGUCCCUGGCCGAUGUUUUCCGCCCCCUACAUGGCCAAGCUGAUGGUGUCAAAACUGAUAUUUCCAGUGCAGUUGCUCUCUUUGGCCUCCUGCCUAGGCACACACUGCCCUCCUGAGCUCUCCCCAGCGUGAGGCCAGGCAUCUCAAAUUGCACAUCUGUUUUGUGUAUCUUCUCCCUUCACUUCCUGUGUCUGAAAAGAAGGCACCCACUCGGCGCUGAACUGGACACCCAAGAGUCACCCCACCCUUCCCACUCACUAGUUGCCUCACCUAGAACAAGCUGCUCGUGUCCCUCUGCCUCCGUUUCCUCAUCUGAAAUACGGUCACAGUGGCAGUACCCACCUCACUGGGUUGUGAGGGGUAAUGCGGUUCUGUCCAUAAAGUACCUAGAAUGAUACCUGGCAUUCUGAAAGUGUAUGAUCAAUGCCAGCUAUUGAUAAUCAUAACUCCGAUACUAAUAAAUACUCAGUUGUUGAUAAUUGUGAGCACCAUUGUGCUCUCUUCCUCCUCUAUUGUCCGCCGACAAGGUAGCCACUAAGUCUAUUUUCUAUCUUCAAAUUCCUUCUUCUCUGUAACCAGCCUCUCCUUCCCUCUCACCUCUGCUCCACCAAUCCUCAUUUUUUCCCCUCAACGAGUCCAGGUUUUACUCUCUCACCUGAAUUCCUGACUCCUUUAUCAUCUCUGAGACUCUUUGAAUGCAUCAAACUACCUCUCCUUCCUUCUCACCUCUGCUCUGCCAAUAUGUAUUUCUUCCCUCAACUAGUACAGCUUGAUCUCUCACCCAGAUUCCUGGAUCUUUUAUCACCUCUGAGACUAUGUGAAAGCAUCAACUGAGUUUAAAUCAAGACCAACUGACUAAGUAGAUGACACAGGAUGAGUAACUUUUGUAUGUAUGUAUGUAUGUAUGUAUGUAUGUAUGUAUGUAUGACCAGUGGUCACUGGACUGAGUGUUUCCAAGUUCUUAGCAUCUUAUUCUGAGAAUUGAAGAAAUCUCUGGGAUGGUCACUGUUAAUUGUCAGCUUAACAGAAUCUAGAAUCACCCUGAAAAAGAAUCUCAGUGAAGGAUCGUCUAGACCAGUUGUUCUCAACCUUCCCAAUGCUGCAACAUCGUGGAGUAGUGACCCCCAACCAUAAUUAUUUUCACUGAUACUUCAUAAUUAUAAUUUAAAAUUGUUACUGUUACAAAGUGCAAGGUAAAUAUCUGACACACAGGGUAUCUGAUAUCUAACUUCUGUGAAAGGGUUGUUUGACUUCCAAAGGGAUCACAAACCUACAGAUUGAGAACCACUAGUCUAGAUCAAGUUAGCCUGUGGGUAUAUCUACGGGGGGUGGGGUAUCUUGAUUAUGUUAAUUGAGGUGGGAAGAUCUGUCCAAUGUGGAUGGCAGCAUUCCCUAAGCAGAGGAUUCGGAACUGUGUGAGAGUGGCAUUUAGCUGAAUACUAGUGUCCAUGCAUUAAUUCCUUUCUCUCUGCUCUGAACUGAAGACCAAAUACGACUAGCAGUUUUACAUUUCUGUCACCUUGCUUCUCCACCAAUGAUGAACUACAACCUGGAAUUAUGAGCCAAAUAAUCCCCCCUUUUUUUUCCCUUUAAGUUGCUUUUGUCAGGGUAUUUUAUUACAGCAACAUGGGACGACUAAGACUCACACAAACAGCUUAGUAACAGGGGAUUUUGCUCAAAGGCAAGGUGAAAACACAUACUAGAUACAAACCAAGGGGACAGAGUGCUUCUAGCAAGGGUGUUCGAGAGCCUCUAAUUACAUCUUGGGCUCCAUUUUAUGGGUAAGAUAUGGGUGGUUCUCUGUUUUGAUGGCUACGCAUGGGUUAUGUAAGUCUGUGCUCGUUGCUCAUGUCCUUUCCCAUGAUGUGUUUCAAUUUACUCAUCUGUAGGUAUACAUACGAUGGUCACAUAGGGAUUUUCCCUUAAAUUUUAACUCAAAGGACACGGGUUACUUUACUGUACCCCCAAAGCAGCUCUUAGUUAGAUAGGUGCACUUCCCUAUCCAGAGUGUGCUAAGGUUUACCAGUUACUAGAAGUUACUAGAGUGAGGUGAGCCGUUGCUUCAUUUGUCAAGGAGUGUUUGUACAUAUCCCAAAAGCAGGCGAGAGUCCAUGGUUGUAUAAAUUAAUCUUGCAAACAACCUACCUCUGAUGAUUCGAAUCAAACGCAUGGUGUCAAUCUCCAGAGGGGUGAAGCACCUUAUGAAUCAGGAAGGAUAUAGGUAAUCAGGGACUUGGGAAAAUGAAACUCUGGUUAUGAGGAAUUCUCCACAAAGUGUUUCUGAACAGAAAAAUGACAACAUGCCUGGGAAAGCAUCUGUGUGGCUAGUUUUAGGUCAACUUGACAGAAGCCAGAGUUAUCUGAAAGGAAGGAACUCCAAUUGAGAGAAUCCCUCUAUAAGAUCCAACUGUAGGGCAUUUCUUAAUUACUGGUUGAUAUAGAAGGGUGCAGCCCAAUGUGGGUGUUGCCAUUUUGGGGCUGGUGGUCAAGCUGAGCAAGCCAGUAAGCAGCACCCUCCAUGGCCUCUGUAUCAGCUCCUGCCUCCAGGCUCCUCCCAUGCUUGAGUUCCUGUCCUGACUUCCUUUGAUGAUAGACUGUGUGAUGUGGAAUAGCAAGCCAAAUAAACCCUUCCCUCCCUGUCUUAGUUUGAGUUUUACUACUGUGAACAGACACCAUGACCAAGGCAACUCUUAGAAGGACAACAUUUAAUUAGGGCUGACUUACAGGUUCAGAGGCUCAGUCCAUUAUCAUCAAGGAUCAUGGCAGCUUUCAGGUAGGCAUGGUGCAGGAGUUGCUGAGAGUUCUACAUCUACAUCCAAAGGAAGCCAGGAGAAGACUAGCUCCCACGUGGUUAGGAGGGUCUCAUUGCCCACCCUGAUAGUGACACACUUCUUCCAACAAGACCACACCUCUUAAGAGUGCUGCUCCCUGGGCCAAGCAUAUUCAAAUUGCUACACUCCCUGACUUUCCUUAGUCCUGAUGUUUCAUCCCAGCAACAGUAACCCUAACUGGGACAGCCUGCCUCCCAGAAGACAUGGAGGCUGCAGACAGCAGAAGAGUCAAGGUCCUCAUAUGGUCAGGGUGGCUCAGCUACGCUCAGAGGAGAGAGGCUCCACAGCGGAGCCAGAGGUUCCUCACUGCUGACAAGGACACUGCAGAGGGACAGAGAUGUUCCACGUGGGUUUUCUGACCAGAUCAAACAUUCCCUGGGACUCUAUUUCCCUCUCUCUUUGAGAGACCUGCCAUUUUUGAUGAGUCAUUUAUUCUGAGGUGCAGAUAAGAACUGUCAUCCUCCAGGAUAGCCCUCUCUUUAAUUUUGCCUUUUCUUUUCUUUCUUUCUUUUUCUUUUUCUUUUCUUUUUCUCAGGAGUGUGCUUCCUGGGAGUUUGUUCCUAAUAGUUCAAGAUGUACAAACACGGUGAUUAUCUGGCUCUAGAAGGUUGAAGACCAGAUCUGUCACCAUAGAUGCCAGCUCAUGUAGUCUUUAGGCAUCCUGAAGAGCCAAGCAGAAUAAUAAAUUGGGGGAGGAGUCUCUUCAACACAUAGCUGUGUUCCCCAGUGACAUAAACACUGUCGGGUUGAGUCUUACUAUGGAGAUCUGCCUUCACCUUCAUUGCUCCCCAGAAGUGUGGCCUCCCUCACUGGGAACAUCGGUUACCAAUCAGCUCUCUCCCAUUUAACACUUCUGCUUUCCUUAUUAAUUGACUUCUGUCUGAUUGAUAACAUGGAACAAGGAUAGGGAAGAUAUAGCCUGCACGCUGCCACUACUUCGGGUCAUCUUCUAAUGAAUCAUGGUUUUCUUUUCCAUUAUUUGGCCUAUAAGCUCUUCUCAAGAAAGCCCUCCAAGGGGCUGAACAGAUCGCUCAGUGAUUAAUAACAUUUAUUGCUCUUACAAGUUUAGAUACCACCACCCAGGCUCACAACCACUUGUAAUUCUAGCUCCUGGAGAUCUGAUGACAUAUUCUGGCUUCUAUAGAUACUGAGUAUGUACACACACACACACACACACACACACACACACACACACACACACACUCAAUAAAAAGAAAGCCCUCCAAGAAAGCACUACUAAUCAAAAUUGGUAGAUGGACUAUGACAUAUUUCCUAUCCUUGACUUAAAAACGCCCACUGAUGUUUUUUGCAGGAGAGGUGUCUCAGUGAUCUAUUAUAGGACAUACCAAGUGUGAGUGGCUCAAAACUAUAAUUCAGGUUGUUCAUUUUUGUUUGUUUUUCAGUCAAAAUGUAUUUCUAUAGCUGUGAUGGUUUGUAUAUGCUUGGGCCAGGCACUAUUAGGAUGUGUGGCCUUGUUGGAGUAGGUGUGUCACUAAGGACAUGGCCUUUAAGACCCUCAUCCUAGCUACCUGGAAGCCAGUGCUCUGCUAGCAGCCUUCAGAUGAACUCUCGGCUCCUCCUGCACUAUGCUAGCCCAGAUGCUGCCAUGCUCUGACCUUGGUGAUAGUGGACUGAACCUCUGAACCUGCAAGCCAGCCCCAAUUAAAUGUUGUCCUUUAUAAGAUUUGCCUUGGUCAUGGUAUCUGUUCACAGCAGUAAAACCCUAACUGAGAUAGUAGCCCAGGCUAGCCUUCUAUUCACAGUCUUCCCACCUUUGCCUCUAACUGUUCCAGACCGGCUAGUUUGCUCAUGAUUCUAAGGGCAACCUAUUGCUGGACUAAGUGACUCUUCUGCUAAUAUUGCCUAUCCCCCAGCAUCAGGGAUCUUUAUGGAGUCUGGAGGAUGUCAAAUGGUCUCUCACAUGACUGGUCUUUAGAGCUAUCUGUUGACUGGGCCUCUAACAGCUCCUUACACUGUGUCACAUGGGAUAUCCCAGUGGGUAAGUACUUUUCUAGCUUCUGCUUCCCCCAUGUUUACAAAGGUCUCGUUGGCCAAUGCAAACCAUGUGACAAAGUCCAGGAUCAAUAUAUAAAGGAUAGCACAAGGAACAGGGACUCAGGAAGGCAUGGCUCAUUGGAAGCCUUGAUUUAUCAAUAUACCCUUCUCCAGGUGUUAUUUGUCGUAUCAGAAACUCCCUGAGUAUUUAGUACAAGCCAGCCCCAGUUUGGUGGUGAGCACAAGAAAAACGAGUCAUUGGGAAGAACUCUGGAGCCUGAAAAGGCUCUCAUGUGCUCAAAAGGCGGGAGAAGGACUCCUCAAACACAUCGAAACCCUGUGCAGGAGACUAUGGAUGACAUGAUCCUGGCGUGUCCUUGUCUACAUGUCUGCUAGACAAAGGCUAUGGAGUUAGACAAUUUCUCCUGGCCCUUGCUCAUGUUGCUUCCUGCAGUUGAAGCUCAGUAAACUACCCAUUGCUUCCUUGGUGAUAAGUUGUUCCAGGCUUUUCUUCAGACUCUAAGACACUCAAAACAAUCACAGAAGUGUAUGUUCCACAAAGAGCUACUUGAGCUUUUCCCCCCUUUUCUGGAAGCCUGGCCAAACUGAGAUGGAGGCCCAUGCCUGCUGACUCUGAUAUUUCCUCCCUCCCCACAUUCCUGCCACCCACAGCUGCUCCAGUCCAGAGUGAAAGUUCAGAGGUCAAAUACUUAGACGCAAAAGCUUCUCUAGAGUGAUGACAGAGAGAGCUCACUCCGGGAAUAAAUAGCCUCCUACUAAUGCUGCUCUUGGGCCUUCUUGUGAAGACUACUCAUGUCCUUAUCAGAUCACCCCUCUAGCCUUCGUAGCUGGACAGGAUUUUACAGACAGGGAAGUUGAGGCCCAGAGUGAGGACCGACUUCCUCAGUGAGUGACAAGGUUGGAAGCAGAGCACUGGCUGGCUGAUUCCAGGUGCUGGCUCACGGUGAAUAGACGGCAUGCUAUCCACAAAUCUAGACGGGCUGCCUCCAAGCUCUUCCUGAGUUUUCUCCUUCCCACCGGGCAGUUCCAGUGACAGCCACCUUUAAGCUUGCGUUCCUAAAUAUCCACAUGAAUGAGGAGACGUCAAACACCUCAGGGGCUACAUUCUCAGCCCAUUCUCUCCAGACAAGCGUGCAGUCUUUUUGCAGGGUCCGCUUCCAUCCUGUGAAUGAUCCAGCCAGGUUCUCUGAGCUGGAAGAGAGAGAGGGCCAGUGUCACUUCAAGAAAAUGUGAUACAGCAGAGAAGAUUAAAGCACCUUCCAGGGCCGAUUUGGAUGGAGUGAGCCAUUAAACCGGGAAAGAAUGCUGUCUGUGGAAGCUCCCGCCAUCUUGCCUUUGUGCUAGGAGUGGGAGACACGGGGCUUUUAGCUUGUUUAUUUAUUUUGUAUGAGUACAUAUCUCUGUGGGUAUAUAUUUGUGUGCAUGAGUGUGUGUGUGUGUGUGUGUGUGUGUGUGUGUGUGUGUGUGUGUAGGUGUCCCGUUCGCUAAAGGACAGGUUAUCAAGUAUCUUCCUCAGUCUCUUUCUGCAUUACUUUUUGAAACGGCAUCUCACCACCGCCAGCACUGACCAUCCCAGUGACCCUCUGUCUCACCCGCAGGACUGUGUGUGUCUUUGUGUUUCCCAUUUUAAGAACUGUGAAGAAAAAGCUUGACUGGCCGUCUCUUUAGAGAAAUAACAUGGGGUCAGUUGCUGGGAAUCUGUUUAUAAGGUUCUGCAACCCUAAACACUGUGAAAAAUCACAAGUGAAGUCCCAGAACCAUACCAGGAGAAUCUUACAGAAUGAGAGAGGAAGCAACAGAGAAGCCAGAGAAAGAUGGUGGUGGCUCUUCUUUAAGAGUUGAAAGCUGAAAAAAACAAAACAAAACAAAACAAAAACAAAAACAAAAAACAAAACAAAACAACAACAACAACAAAAACAAAAACAAAAACAAAAACAAAAAAAAACCCAACCAAGGGGUUGGGGAUUUAGCUCAGUGGUAGAGUGCUUGCUUAGCAAGCGCAAGGCCCUGGGUUCGGUCCCCAGCUCCGAAAAAAACAAAAACAAAAACAAAAACAAAAACAAAAACAAAAACAAAAAAAGAGUUGAAAGCUGGAAUCAGAGAGGGAAAGCAACUUCCUCAAAACCCCACAGCCUAUACUGGAAGACCUGCAAGCCUGGGCCCUCAUCCCAAGGCCAGCUCUUUUUCAGUUUUAUUAUAUAUCCCUUCUUGUUUCUUCUAUACUUCAAUGUAUUUUCCCACCAACCCACUUCCUGCCCCAACAACUCUUCGGCCACCCCGGAAACUCUCUUCUUGAGAAAGACUAUUAACUUAUAGAUUUAACGACCAUGUGUCUCAAUUUGAUCUCUUUAAAAGAUUUAUUUUAUUUGUAAUUACAUGUAUUGUAUAUGUCUCUGUGUAUACAAUGUAUGUACAGGGGCCCACAAGGCCAGAAGAUGGUGUCAGAUCCCCUAAGCUUUCGUGAUCCCUAAAACAGGCAAUCAAACCCGGGUUCUCUAGAAGAGCAGUGAGUGCUCUUAACUGCUGAGCCACCUCUCCAGCUCCCAGACGUCUCAACUUAAAUUGAGAUACUAAGGUGGAGUUAGAGGAACCCCCAAUUACUUUCUAAUAAAUAUGAUAACUUGUGCUUUCUUCUAAGGCCAUGUUGGAACCCCCUUCCCCAAAAAAUACCCUGAAAACAGAGAUGUUAGGAGAAAGGUGGUCUUGUGAAACAGUGGGUCUGGAAAAGUCCCAUAAACUUAGGACCGUUUAGACCCCAGUCCGCCUGAAGCCAGGAUGGGCGGGAAGGUCUGGAUGCAUGCUGAUGGUGAGAACUGGCGGGCGGAAGGUUCAGCACACACUCCAAGAGCGACUCAGACCCAAGGGUGUCUCUUCCAAAGAUGAGUGAUUCCCAUCAAGAAUUUUCAACCCAAAGCUCCCCACUUCCAAAAAGCUGAGUUGUCACUGAGGCUCCCCGUCCCACUGAUCGUGUUUCUAGCUGACACUGGAGGGUUCAGAGGCUCCUUCCUUACCACAGAUGGUGUGAACACCGAUGAACUUGUGUGGAGUCCACUGUCCGGGUCAUCAGUCUCCUCCUCUACCUUCCCUUUCCAACGCCUGUGUCCUUCCUUAAGCUGAUCUUUGUAUUGAAAUUUCCUAAGGCGAGACGAAAGAGCCCCAGCAAUUCUGAGCCUGGAUGACCAGUUGAGCCUGGCUGGCCAGGGAACACCAGGCAUCUGUCCGUCUCCACCUUGGCAAUGCUAGGAUUACAGAAGCAUACAGCCACGUCUUGUUUUUUAUGUGGUUCUGGGGAUGGAGCUCAGGUCCUCGUGCUUGCGAGAUGCUCUACUGACUGAGCCAUCUCCUCAGCCACCAAUACAGCAUUUAGAGAAAAAAUUGCCAAACCCUGAUUACUGGAGAUGGGACACUGGGAACCGAGUUUUCAAGAUAAGGUAGUUUUUCAAGUGAUGGGCAACUGGAAAGCUGACCUGGUUUUGCUUGAAAAGGGUCCAUUUGUGUGUGUGUGUGUGUGUGUGUGUGUGUGUGUGUGUGUGUGUAUCAGACAUAUAAUUUAAAAAUUAACUAGAGUAUUCUGAUAAUCCAACAUGGCGUUGGUCGUGACUGUUUAAAGUGAAGCUGUGGGUAUUUGAGCAUUUCUCCUUUUACUGGUGUAUAUUUUCUUGAAUGAGCAACAUCGCUUUUUAAAAUAAAAAAAAAGCAAUUUUUAUGUUUAACUUUUUAAUUAUCUCCAUUCUAAUCGGUCAAUCAAUACCAUCGUGGAGAAGAAGCCAUUACACAAAACAUACUUUGAAAAAGAAGGGGACUGGUUGUGCUCCUCAGAACUCAGCCAAGCUCAAGCACUCUGCAAAGACAGUCCUCUGCAGGGCACCAAAUGGGCUGCAGAAGAAGACAGCCCUGUGGGCACAGCUGGAGAAGGAACCUUCAUUCCGGACGUCAUUUCAAAGGAAUUCCUCUUUCAGCACGGCACCCGUAGGAGAAUUCUACAAAAACUCCAUUUUCACUUAGUUGUAGCACACGGAUGACUUAGACUAGCCUGGGAAGAAACUCACUGAGCGCCCCGAAAAUGGAGCAGUUGUUGCUGGUGAGCUUGACCAGCUGGGAAGUGAACUCUGUGCCCCACCACCUACCCCAGGGAACUAGGCAGCAACUGAUUACAUACCCUGGCCCUUUCUUGAAUUCCCACUGUGGACAGAUCGCUGGGCUCGGUUCCCAGUGUGCUUUGUCUCAACUAAGUAAAAGCACCAAAUAUCUGCGUGUAUGCAGAGGUCACAGAGAUUCAGCGCAUGACCCAAGGCUGCAGAUUAACACUGUAUGUUGGUAACUACCUAUCCUGGGCAGUGGGAGGUAGAUUCCACUCACGUGUCUCCUCUCCUUUGAAAGUUGGUUUUCUCAUCUGUUUAUCUUUCCCUUCAGGACACCCCGGAGCAGGAAGCCCUCCUACUCCUCUCCAUCCUUAGCAGUUUGUGUGGGCUUCCACGUUCUGUUGGCUGGCCCCUGGAAAAUGCUUUGCCUGUGCUGUUAUUUUUUCUUUUAUGUUGAAGUCUCCUGGGGUUCCCUUGACUCUGGUAGUUGGUGAGAGUCCAAGUAUGGACUCCUCUGCUUGUGACCAGAGGCAGGGCAGUAGGGUAAGGCUGGUGGGAAUUAGGGAGAGGGGGCUUUUCCACAUUUUAAAAGAUAAUAUAAUAACAUGGUUGAGGUUGAGAUAGAAAUACUUCAGAGGGAGCGUGGCUGUGAGACAGAGGGAAAAAAACAGAUCCCAUCAUCCCACCAACUGGUGGCUCCCACCCCUGAACCCCUCACCCUAGCCCCAGCACCAGACACACUUCAAGAAUGAGUAAAGCUAAGUCUCGGACUGGAUCAAGGAUUGGAACCUGCCUACCCGAAGAAAGUCAUAGAAGUAUCUAUAUGGACAAGAUUGGGUUACCUUUAACAUCGGAAGGAUAUGGUUGUGAUGGGGGUUGGGAGGAGGGCAGGGAAUGCCACCCACCUGUUCCUAGGGGAUGUUCCUGUGAGCCCGUCCUGGGGCCUUGUUUGAUGAGGUCUACCUUAUCUGGGUCCUUGUCAAUCAUGCAACCUUAUUUAUCAUACGUCAGUCAAGUGCGGGCUCCAAUGUGAUAAGUGGAAAAACAGAGGCACAGACCGAGGAGCUUGUCCCGCAUCUCCUACUAGGAAGUGGAAGACGUCGUUUAGCCCAUGUGACUCGCGCUUCCGGGCUUUUGCUCUUCAACUGGAUCAGCCAGAUGUUUGAGAAGCUAGACGAUUACCCAGGUGUUUCCUGGAUUUUAUUCCUGCAGCCUGUAAAUGUUGUCUAGGAUCUGACUUUCCAGCAGCUGGGUCUUCCAGCCUUGGGAGCAAACAGAGGACACCCCAAUGUCUCAAGUGGAGUCACUUGCGUACUUGGCUACUACUCUCACUGAGUCCAGUGGAGUUCACUGGCCGGGCAGCCAUGGAGAUGAGUAGCCUCCCCUCCCAUGCCCAAGACCAACAGCCAAGCAACAGCUGGCGGAGGUGUUUGGAAGUGGCGUUUCCUCUCAGCAGCACAGCCCGGAGUUAGGUUCUUCAGACUUCCUGAGAGGCCACCCCCUUGGAGAUUUAAUCCUUUCCCCAGUGUCCUUCCUGCCACCUGUAGUCUAAACUUAGCGACAAGCGCCCCUUCUUCCCCAGCCACUUUGGCAGGCCAUCUUGCUGCUAAUAAGCAAGAUGUGCUCCCUCAUCGGGCCACCUUGAGAGGGGAAGCUCGAGCAGGAGCCAGCGACAAUGAUCUUCCUCUGACUUCUGUCUGCGUCUCUGAGGAUACAGGACUGGGGCAGUUGUACCAGCAAGUCCUUGAGGUGGCAAGGGUCUCUUUAAUCACGUCACCAACUGAGUUAUGUGAGCAGAGCAAAAGCCAGCAGGAACAUGGAACCUUCAGGAUCCUGUACCUAAGUUCACAGCAAAGCCUCUAGAAAUGAAGCAACUUGUCUAAGAAGUGACUCACGGGGAGUUUGUCUCCGCUUCUCCAUUCUUGUGUGAUGAUAAAUAAAAAUGGCUGAAUUUAAUUUGAAGGUUCAAUCCUUUCAGACAGGAGUCUUUGUGUACACGUGCUCGUGCUCACACCCUUGCUAAGUGUCAAGGGUGUGGCUGGUGUAGCAAGGCUGCCUACAGCACUUAGGCAAUGGCAAACAUCUGAUACGGAAGGCUUCGUUCGGUUCCUGCCUCUCAGGUAUGCAUUACCAGGGUGUACUGUUUCUCUUGUCUUUACUAAUUUUCUGGACGCUCUCAAAAGAAGUCAAUUAACCAGAAGUCUCCACCCACCCGGGCUCCAAUUUGUCUGUGUGCUCCCUUAUUUUGAAGCACUGUGAUCUAUCACAGAGAGAACUGUGGUGUGUAGAUUUGAAAUUGGAGGCCUUUGUCCUGUUUUCUUCUCUGUGUGUGCAUGUAUACGUGUGCGCGUGCAUGUGUGUGUGUAUGAGUGUGUAAAAUGACAUCUGACAUAGAUUACAAGAGACUCAAGGAUCCAAGGAUUGGGAGCCAGAGCCCUUGUGCAUUUAUUUGCAGUGAAGCACAGGUUCCAUGAUGUUGCUUGAGUUGACACUUACGUCUUCAAGUGAGACCUUUUCAUUCAGUCAUACUGAACCUUUCCUGAGAACAAGGUUAUAUACUUACAUCCUUUUAUAUUUGGGGGAGAGUAUUUUUGAUACAAGUUUUAUACUAUUGCCAAGCCUCAGCCUCCUGAGUACCAGGAUUGUUGGUGUGAGUCACAAUUCCCAACUUGCUUCUGUGUAUUGAUCAGUGCCAUGGACUGAUCAAUUAAGGACCAUGCCUAGGCAACAAGCACUAGCUAUGUGCAGUGUGCAGCAUGGAGAUGAGAGCUUGUGGAAUAGCUACCCUCUACAUCUUACAGUCUAAUUAUAGACACCUGGCUGUGUCUAAACAAACAAACAAACAAACAAACAAACGUUUAUAAGGUAUAACAAAGUCUAAUGGAUAACCUUUAUAGUGGAAAAAGAAAAUGAGAUUAAUUUCAAAUGAGUUAAAUGGGCAUAAGUGACAUGUACUCCUUCUCCUACGAUCUCAACAGCAAACCAAGGCACCACUCUUCCAAGUUCACUCUGGAGAACCUAUUAGUUUAUUGGUCUUCGUUACAAAGCAUAGGUGAUGGGUUACCUACAGGAGUUCCCAACUUGCUUCUGUGUAUUGAUCAGUGCCAUGGUCAAUUAAGGACCAUGCCAACUUCUUCCCAACUGUCCACACAUGAAAAGACUUUACCCAGCAGGGAUGAGGGGUUCUCUGUAGCUGCAUAAAUGAAGCCCCACAAGCCCCGAGUCUUCCCAGUCCACACAUUCCAGACUCUUCCUCCUUGAGGCUAUAAGCUAUUAAGACAGGGUUGCCUAUGCUGGGUGGUGGCUGUACCCUCAGGUGAGGGUCCCCUGAGCUUCUCACCCUCUGUGAGGGGAUAUAAAGAAUCAUCGAGACAAACUGGGAUGAUCCUUUUGAACUCCCCAAGAUGGUGGUUUCUUGGCUUGAAGAAUAGUCACUCAUAACAGGUAGUGAAAAUAAAAUUAACCAUGUCACCUAUGGUGGUCUGAAUACACUUGGACCAUGGGAAGUGGCACUAUUGGGAGGUGUGGCCUUGUUGGAGGAAGUACAUCACCAUGAAGGUGGACUUUGAAUUCCUAUGCUCAAGCUCCUCCAGUGUGGAAGACUGCCUCCUUCUAGCUGCCUUUGGAUCGAGAUGUAGAACUCUCACCUCCUUCUCCAGCACCAUGUCUGCCUGCAUGCUGCCACGCUCCCUGCCGUGGUGAAAUAGACUGAACCUCUGAAACUGUAAGCCAGCCCCAACUAAUGUACUUCAUAAGAGUUGCCCUGGUCAUGGUGUCUCUUCACAGCAAUGAAACCCUAACUAAGACACCACUCACUGAACUGGAAAGCUUCCUUAGGAGCGAUUGUGACUUCCAGAUUGUAAGCCUGAAAUAUCACUAAGACUUGACCACAUUUUCCAGACCCUGGAAGGUGCUCUGAAAAUCACUUGGUGGACGAAGGGAGACAUUUAUACAGUGAAACCCUCUUUCUAAAAUUUUUAAUUGAAUCGAUCCUCUUGUAGAGGGGGCAGCUUCAGCUCCCAGCACCCACAUGAUGGCUCACGAACAUCUGUAACUCCAGUUUCAGGGGCGUCCUAUUCUCCAGUCCUCCAGGCCCCUUCUGAUUUCUGAGGGCCCUGCACGCAUGUGGCACAUAUUUAUAUGUAGGCAAAAGAUUCAUACACACAUAAUAUAAAAUAAAAAUAUUUUUUUAAAAAAUCACUUCAGGGGCUGGAGAGAUGGCUCAGCCGUUAAAGGCUAGGCUCACAACCAAAUAUAUAAAAAAUCACUUCAGAAUAAAGUCAUUAGUUAGGAUGGCCUUUCAUCUUGACACUUUAAACAUGUCUUAACUAUCUUUACAUGCCAAUGUCUUGUAUCUUGUUAUAUGAUUAGAAAUUCGUUACAUAAUAAAAUCUAUGCCAAAGGUGGAAAUUAUUGUUUCCAAAGGUAUGAACAAAAUAUGUCGAGGAUUUCAACAUACUCCUUCCCAGGACGGCAACUCUCGAGAAUGCCUUUCUCUUUUUGUUGUGCAUUGUUACAACAGAACAUCUGAUGUUGGGCAAUGAGCAAAGACUUUGUAACCACAGGGUCUCGGCAGCAUGGUACCAGCAUGGUGAGGGCCUUCUUGGUUGUCACAACAUGAUAAAGAAAGAGAGGGGUUGGGGAUUUAGCUCAGCAGUAGAGUGCUUGCCUAGCGAGCGCAAGGCCCUGGGUUCGGUCCCCAGCUCCAAAAAAAAAGAAAAGAAAAGAAAAAAGAAAAAAAAAGAGAAAAGAAAAAGACUAUUUACAGAAAGGGCAAGUGUACAAGGAAGGAAGCCAGAGGGAUGUGGGGGAGGUGUCGGUUCUCUUAUUACAAUCCACACUCAAGAUCCAGGAAGAGAGCCAGGAUUAACCUUAAAGACUUAGUCACGACUGACAAGUCCUGACCUUUCAAAGGUUCUUUCACCACAAUACCACCCUGGGGACCAAGCUUCCAGCACCUAGAGCUUUGGGGGAGACAAACCAUAGAAGUGGAAAAAUGAGAUAAAGUGAUUUAAUUAUCAGCAUACAUAUUACUGCAUCUUAUUUAUUAUUCUGUUGCUGUGAUGAGACUCCAUGACCAAGACAACUCAUAGAAGGAAGUAUGUAAUUUGGAACUUGCUUUACAGCUUUAGGUCAGCCCACAAUCAUGGUGGGAAGCAGACAAGCAUGGGGCUGGGGCAGUAGCUGGGAGCUUUUCAUCUUGAUCUGCAGAUCCACAGACAGUAAGGAGAGAGAGAGAGAGAGAGAGAGAGAGAGAGAGAGAGAGAGAGAGAGAGAGAGAGAACACACCUGGGCUUGGCAUGGACUUUUGAAACCUCAUAGCUCACCUCCUCCAACAACCACUAACCAGGGGUAUAACAUAUGAGACCGUGGGGUCCAUUCUCACCACCAUGUACCAAGAAUCAGGUAAGUGACAGACACCAUGUGACAAAAGCUUCUGGGAGGAAAAAGCACCACAAGUCACAAUGACCAAUGGUGGCAUCGAAGAAUGGCUAUGGUCAUAGGUCACAGGAGUGGGCAGGGAACAGAUGGCAUGCAGCAUGGGUGACAGGUGAACUGGUCUUGGUUCCUUGGCCUCAGAUGGGUGCAGAAAGAAUAAGUCAAGUAGGGGGCUGGGGAUUUAGCUCAGUGGUAGAGCGCUUACCUAGGAAGCGCAAGGCCCUGGGUUUGGUCCCCAGCUCCGAAAAAAAAAAGAACCAAAAAAAAAAAAAAAAAAAAAAGAAUAAGUCAAGUAAAUUAGCAUGCACGACCUUUAAGGGUCACAGGGUCCUUGUAGGUUUCUUUGGCGGACAUCAUUAUGCACAGUCCUGUAUCCUUUUGUUAAACCUUUGGCUCUCCGAUCAGUGGGUUGAAUACUUGGUCAGAUAGAGGAUUUAUUGUUGUAAUAUUCAACUUCUCUGCAUAUUGUCUAGUUCAAACAUCUAAGUACCAAGACAGAAGGAGAAAAGGGACUGGUGAGAUGGCUCAGACGGUAAAAGGGGCUCAUUGCCAAGUCUCAUGGUCUGAGUUCAAUCCCCAGGAACCCAUCUAGUAAUAGAAGGUCCUGCAGCUGUCUUCUGACUUCCACAUGAGUUUAUUGGGCUUCCUUACAGAGUACAGGUGAGGGCUUAUCUACAGGAGUGCAGAUGCUCUCCCACACAAACGAUUCUCUCUGUCUUUCAAGUGUGCAUAUACACACAAUAAACAAACAGACAAACAAACAAAGAAAGUAAGUUAAACAGAACAAAUAGAUAUCCCAAAUAAUUGCAAUCAAGUCUGCAAACCAACAACCACACUGUGAAGAGUUCCUCGGGCUUCUUUGCUCUCUCACAGAUAAAGAGGCAGCAGAGGAUGGAGGGGACAUGCUGUCAGCCAUGUGGAGGAGCAGAGCUAUUUAAGUCUGACAGGAAAGUUGCCAUUGAUGUCUGUCCAGAUCACUUGUGGCUUAGUACUAACUGCCAUUUGGCCUCCGUGACCUCGAAGUUGUUGCUUUUCCCUCUUCCUCUCUCUGCUGCUCUCAAGCCUCUGUCCUAGGCUCGUGUGCCUCCCUCCACACACUUCCGGGGCUUGCCCGUGCUCUCCUGUGGUUUGCCAUCCCCUCUGUUGCUGAUAUCCAGUCCUUUAUCUUCAGCUCCAGACCCAAGCAUCUUCCUGGAUGCCUGAUGGAGCUCAGGUUUCUCUAGUCUAACAGCCUAACCAAAACCUUCCCCAUCCAACAAACUCAUUGCUCUGAGUGCACACUUUUAGUCAGAGAACAUUAUUGCUAGGGGUGUCAUUCAGUAGUAGGGAACUUGCCCAGCCUCUGUGGGAGCCUGGGUUUCAUGCCCAGUGCUGUGAUAAUAAAACCGAAAAGCCCAUGAAGUUAUUCAUUCGUGCAUUCAAGUUUAAAACUGGGAAGUCAGCCUUGACUUAGCAUCUUUCAAUAUUGUAUCUGAAUGGGCUGUUCUAAUUUAAUUUCUGUUGCUGUGAUAAAAUAUCCCAACAAUAAGCAUCUUACAGGUGAAGGGGCUUGUUUGGCUUACAGUUUUAGUUAUAGUUCAUUAUUUCAGGGGAAUCAAAGUAGGAAUGUAAAGUGUCACAUCCACAAUCAAGGGUGGAGAGAGAGAGAGAGAGAGAGAGAGAGAGAGAGAGAGAGAGAGAGAGAACCAUCUCUCGUCGAGCUGUAACCUCUCUUACACUGCUCAGGAUACUCUUCAGGAACGUCUCCUAGGGACGCCGCCAUCCACGAUGGACUGGUUCUUCUUAUAGUAAUCAACACCAAGACAGUCUCUCACAGACAUGCCAACAGGCCAACUUGAUCUAGAUAAUUCCUUAGUAGGUGAGGCUCUCUUCCCAGGUGAUUCUAGGCUGUGCCAAGUUGACAAUCCAAAUUAAGCUGCACAUAGGCCCUAAAAGUCUGUCAACCACACCUCAGAAUCUCCUAAGCCCACCUCUACUUGAGCUCCUGUGAGAUAACCUUUAACCAGCAUGACUGCAGCCUUUCUUUUCUUUUCUUUUCUUUCUUUUUUUUUUUUUUGGAGCUGGGGACCGAACCCAGGGCCUUGCGCUUGCUAGGCAAGCUCUCUACCACUGAGCUAAAUCCCAAACCCCGACUGCAGCCUUUUAAUUGGCCUUGGGUCAAGGACUUCUUAUUGUUUGUCAACAUAAAAAUGACUAACACAUUUGGAAAAUUGAGAAUUUGUGUAGCACAAGAUACAACCUCAAAUCUGGUUCUCAUGUUUGUAGGAGAGCCUGGUGUCCUCCCACAUCCCAUUUUUUUCUUGGAUUGUGUCCUAGGGCUCUAACCAGUAGCCUACAUUGAGGUAGUCAUCAGUAUCAAUCCACACAUUAAACAGUAGUAAAACUGAAUUUAUUUCUCUUCCAUAGAAAAAUAAUCUCGGAGACUCUGAGGGGAGCCUUGCUUUACUUUGCAGACCACUAGUCCCUUCUAUAAAUUGUCCCCUAAAAAUAUGCUAAGUUGAAAAAGCACUUCCAUUGCAAGCAUGAAGAACAGAGUUUGUUCUCCAGAGCCCAUGUCUUAAAAACAAGAGCUAGGUUUCACUUGUGGUGUACUUGUAAUUACAGAACAAGAGAGGCAGAGACAGGAUAAUUCUUAGGGUUCCUUGUCUGCCAGCUUAGCUCUCAAGAAACAAAGCAAAAGGUUCUGGAGGAACCACACACAAGGUUGUCAUCUGACCUCCAUAACUAAGCUCAUACAUACAUACAUACAUACAUACAUACAUACAUACAUACAUACACACACACACAGGCAUGAACACACACACACACACACACACACACACACACACACAAACACACACAAGCGUUGGAACCUGUGGAUGUUAACUAGUUAGGGUGAGGUCAUACUUGAGCAGAAAAGCGACUGUUUGAAGACCUAUAGAAGUCAGGCAAGGAGGGAUCCAGCAGAGGCUGGAGGCAAGCAAUGUGUGCAUCUGCACAUGAUGGCUGGGGAGCAGCUCGGGCUCUGAGAGAGCUUGAAGGAGUCUCUUCUGCAGCCUGCAGAGGGAGCGCAGUUUUGUUACCUCUUGAAGUUCGGACCUUUGGUCUCGGAGACAGUUAUUGCUUAAGCCAAUAGCAGUAUCAUGGCAGCCAUUGCAGGAGGGAUCUAGAGAGUGGAGAAGGUUGAGGGAGGCAUCAGGAUCCCCAACAGUCAAGGUGACCCAUGAGCUUGGGGAGGAGAGAGAGUUCAGAAAGGCAAAGGCUCGGACAACAAGGGAGGGAGCUAGAGGAUGUGAGUAAAGGCCUUGGAAUGUGCCGCAGAGGCUCGGAGCAGACAGAGGAAACACCUGUCCCAGUGGAGGUGCUCCAAGGAGAGCCAAAUGCCUCAGGGUAGGACGGGCAGGGCAGCUCUCCAGGUGCCCAUUCCUUCUGCUCUUCUGGGCUUGGAUUCCCUCCUCUGGCAACUGAGCCUUUCCCAAUUCCUCCAGGGCGGUUCCCUCUAGUCAUUUUGGUGACACAUUUCUGGGCUACCAACUACACAUCUCCAUUUGUUUGCCCACACCCAGGCCCAGCCCUAUGCGCUCUGCCUAAAACUCUACCUCACUAACGCCUCCAACCUAAGGCCCUUUUAAUGAAGGUUUGGUUCAUUGCUGCAGCUCCCUUAAUGGCACAGCGAGCAGCUGUUGAAAUGCUGAUGUUUUAAAAUAGAAAGAAAGGCACAGAGAAGCUUUCAGAGGGGCAAUUCCAUUUUUUAAUUUAAAAAAAUUAAAAAUGCACACGCAGGGCAUUCCUGUUGGACCAUAUAUAGCCCCCUCUCCCCCAAUACAAAGCCAAAGAAACAAACUAUUAAGGCUAACUUGCUUUUCAAUGUAUGAAUUGUUCAUCCAAAUUAAAUACAUGUACAGACUAUUACAUUAUUUUAUCUUUGAAGUCUUUACCUUGAUUUAUUAAUUGGUGUGAGGCAUGAGUGGGGAGGAGGACAACUUGUGGCCAUCAAUCUUUUUACCCUUCUAUCAUGUGGGCCUCGGGGAUUGAACUCAGGUACUCAGGCUUAGCCGCAAGCGCCUUUGCCCCUGGAGCCAAAUCACUGACCCUCAGAACAAACAUUCAUCAUUCUGUUGGGGAUGUCACGGACAGUUUCAUACAGCUCAUGGCGUGAGCUCACAGAUAUAAUAAGGAUAGAGUGAGAAGUGGAGAAUAGACUGUGUUCCUGGAGAGGGAGCCCCAUUUGGUUCAGGUGAACAGACAGAGCUGAGCUGACAGAGACUUCUGCGAUGGCAGUUCAUAUGGAAGACCAGGCUUGUCUUCAGCUGCUCACCCGACGUUUAUUGUGUGGCUGGCUUUAUGCUCUUCCCUCCUGCGAAAACCAUGAGAGAAAGGAAAACACUUGUAAAUGUCAUAAUGAAAACCAUACAGGAUUUGUGUGCCAAACAUAUUUAUGUGUCAGUCAUUGCAUAUGACUGGUAGAUUGGUGACCCACCUAGGAAGAGGUGACCGUGCGUGACAAAAAAAAAAAAGCCAUUAAAAAUGUGACUAAAUCUGAGACUUUGAUAUGGAGAGAUAAUCCUGCUGGGCCGGAUCUGAUCAUACCUCCUUGAAACAAAGAACCUUUAUGAUUGAGUUCAGAACCAGAGGGAGAUAUGACUUCAGCUGUUUUUCAGGAUGGAAGGGACCAUAAGCUAAGGAACGUGAGCUUACUCCCAGACACUGAGAAAAACCCAACACUUUGCCACACCUGAACUCAGCUGUGUGAACAAAACAUAAUCUCUGUCGUAAAGAAUUUAUCUAUUAUCAGGGCUUAUUCAGGUGGACAUGUUUGUUUGUUCGUUUGGUGUGUGUGUGCUUGUGUGUGGUGUGUCGAGCGCACACUCGUGCCAAGAUUCUGAGUCUACAUCUGUGCACCACAUGCAUGCAGGUGCCUGAGGCCAGAAGAGCAGGUCAGAUUCCCUGGAGCUAAAAUUACAGACAGUCGUGAGUUGUAAGCUACGAGCCCUAGGAAACAAAUCUGGGCCCCCUGUAAGAGCGGUAAGUGCUCUUAACCUCUGACCCUCCACUCCAGCCCCUAGGUAGAGAUACAGAAAGAAUAGAGUAGAGUUGCUAAGGGAGUGUUUACAAAGAGCUAUGUACAUAAAAUUCGCUGGGUGGCAUUCUGCUAAUAUGUUCUAUCUUGGAAAAAACUCCACCAGCAACAUCGCUCACACUUCUGCAGUCCCCUUUACCUGUAGGAUUCCUUAAAGAACUCACCCAUUGAGACAGUCCCCAUUCUUCCAGAAUUGCCUCUGAAAGUUAAGUGUAGCUGGCUUUUGUGUCCACCAUGCCACCAACACUGCUUGCUUGUGGUCCAGGUGGGCAAUGACCUCUACUCAAAGCUAUCCUGGUUGUCAGUCCUCAACCAGCGCACAGCCGCAUGACUACAGCUGGCCACACCUCUUUCCCAUCAUCCUCUUGGUGCUCCUCUUUCACUUCUCUAUCUCCUUUGUAGGUUUCUUGUCUUUUCCUUUGCGUCUUUUGUUUACAUUGCUUUCACGGGUAACCUCACGAUGUCUUGCACCAACCACAAGCUGAGGACCUCCAAAUGUUGACACUUCACCUCAGACCUCAUCUAUGGCCUCUAGAUGAGUAGAUCUAGCCUGCCACAUGGACAUGCCAUUAACCUGCUGCUAAACAUGGGAAAUAGGGAUGUCCAGUCAUCCCAGGUCCUCUCUACCACCUGCUCCACCCAUAAUUGUCUCCAUCCUCCUAGCCUGAGUAGAUUUAUAACUAAUUUUAUUAGAUUUAUAACUGACUCUUAUAUAUCCUAUCAGCCAUUAGAAACUUUGACUGGCUUGUGUAUCCAGAAUCCAAUCACUUCUACUGUUGUAAUCCCAGUUGUCUUAAGUUUCUUUUGCUGUGGUAAAGACCGUAAUCAAAAGCAUCUAGGGAAGGAGCAGGUUUAUUUCAGCUUAUACUUCCAAGUCACAGUCAUCAUCAUGAAGGAAGUCAGGACAAGAUCCUGGAAUCAGGAACUAAGGCAGAGACUAUGGGGGAGUGCUGUUUACUCGUGGCUUGCUCAGUCUGCUUUUUGAAAAAAAAAAUUAUGUGCAUUGACGUGUUGUCUGCAUGUAUGUGUGACUGAGGGUGCCAGAUCCUACGGAACUGGAAUUACAGAUGGUUUUGAGCCACAAUGUGGGUGUUGGGAAUUGAACUCAGGUCCUCUGGAGGAGGAGUCAGUGCUCUUAACCUUGGAAUCAUCUCUCUAUCUCUUGAACCCUCAACCUGCUGCCUUUUCCUCCUUAAUCCAACUCAGGACCAAAUGCUCAGAGAUGUCAUCGUGCUAAGUAGGCUGGGCCCUCUCGCAUCAACUGUCAACCAAGAAAAUGCCCACAAGCCAAUCUGGUAGAGAAUUUCCUCAGUUGAGGUUUCUUCUUCCACAAUGAGUGUAGCUUGUGUCAAGUUGACAUAAAACAAGCCAGCAUAUUAAUCUAGUCACCAUCGCCCCUGACAAAGUCCUGGUGCCUCCUGCCAGGUAAAGUCCCAAGCCCAUACCACAUCCUACCAGGCAGGUUCUGCACGCUUUACACACUUGCCUACGUGUUACCUCUCAGGCUGCCUCCUCCGUGCUCAUUCUGCUCCAGUUGCACCAGCACGGGCUAUUGCUUGUGUUCUACUUGAGUGUUGGGGUAUCAUGGCGGAAGAAGGCAUGUCAGUGCUUCAGGUGUGAUGUUGGUGCCUCUGAUGUGGCCCAGAUGGGGAAUGCAGAGUAGGCCAGAGUGGGAGGCAAUAAAGAGGGGACAUUGUGAAGAGCAUGAGAAGGGCCCGGGAAAGUCCUUUGGUGGAUUUCCAGUAUUCCAAACAGCUUUUGGCUCAGAGUAAGCGUUCAGUGAAUGUUUAGUGAGCUUACAGAUAAAGUUUUGGUCAUAAAUUCUCACAUGGCCUAAUUCUCUCUAUUUUAAAGAAUGCUAUUUGUCAUGUCACCUUUAAAAGUUUUGUAUAUUUACUUAGAAUCUUGAUUUGGAGACACCAUUGACUGGGUUUUUAAUUUAAGUGACAGAAGUCUAUAGGUUUUGGUUGGUGAGAAAGCUCAGCAGGUAAGGGAGCUUGCAUGAAAGCCUGGGGAUCCACGUUCAAUCCCUGAGGUCCACAGAGUGGAAGGAAAGAACCAGCUCUCUUUGCUCUGACUUCCACAUGUAUGGUAUGGUGUGGUACAGCCUCCCUCCACCACAUACAUACAUACAUACAUACAUACAUACAUACAUACAUACAUACAAAAUCAUAAUAUUGAUGUGACGCCAGGGUCGCUGACAUUAAGAAGUAGAUGGACUAGAGGACAGAUCUAAAAGGAAACCCAGCUCUACCUAAAAGGUUUGUUUUAAGCCUAGAAUCUAAGCCUUACCUGUUCCAACAUGAUCGUGAGGGAAACAGGGAGGACACAUUCUGAAGGUUCACCUCACAGUCACCCGUGCCUCUGUGAAUGCUCCUCUCUGGUAAGCAUUACUGCUCCUAAACCAGGAGCUAGAAGGUCAAUGAAUCCUUUAUUUAGAUGGAAUUAAGCUAAGUCUCUUUGAGUGAACUGUUUUCAUACAGAGACCUCGGCGGCUUACAUGGUUGGAUAAAUUGACAGCAAGCAAUGUCUCAGUCUCCUAAUCUGGGAAGCCGUGUCAGCUAUUGUUCAAGGACAUGGGUCUGAAGUCACACACGCAGACACACAUGUAUGCAUGCACACACAUUACAUGUUUCACACAGGAAACGAUCACUCUGAAAAAUCUCUAUACAGAAACUUUGCAUGCACAUGCAUACAUGCACUCAUACACACACACACACUCUAUGGUGAACAUUUGCUCAGUAGUUGUCUUGCUCAGAGUCCUUUCAGUACUUCGUACAAAGGAAAGACCAGGACUGGAAUAACUGCCUAUCACGCCUAUUCCUCACUCCGAUAUCAGCAGUACAUUCAGAUCUUUAUAAUGUAUAUUUGGGUCUCCUAUUUGGUUGUAUUAACUUGGUCCAUAGGAGGUUUGGUGCAUGAUGCGUACUUGGGGGUUCCCCGUUUUGUCUCAUUAGCUUGGUCCACGGUGUGUGAUGGGGGUUCUAUAAUCCCAAGUGCAUCCUCUUCUCCUCACUUGAUAGCCCAGAAAACAUUUGUGGUCUCCGGUCUCAUCCUACGCUCUUUCAGUGCUGAGCUGCAGUUAUCUCACAGAGAAGUUUCCAAGAAUUUGGCUGAACCGGUUGGGGUCACACGAUAGCUUGAACUCCAGGACGGAAGUAUUUACACCCUGGAAAUUGGCUGAGAUGAGUCAGGUCUCUUCCCACCCAGUUGCAAAAAGCCAGUUGUUAACUACACCUCUGGUGGAGUCUUUCUUCCAACAGGAUUGAUGAUGUCAGAGCUUCCUUUUUUUUUUUUUUCCCAACAGGGGCUGACUUUCUGUCUGAAUACAGCUUUCCAUGGCAUAUGAUGUAUAUAUGUACACUGUUUCAUUUGCAUCUUGGUUUUCCAGUUUUAUAUGUGUACAAAGUAUUUACAGACACGAACACAGCUUCCGGUUGUGGCUUGACGCCCAUUUACACUCCCCGGACAGAAGAGCAUGGCCUGAUUCGUAAUUGCUAGCUCUCCGUCCUUCUCCUGGACAGCUCUAAUGUUGAUAUAACUUAGCAGUGUAAGUUUCAGGUCCAUCAUUUAAUAAAACUGGGUUAUUAUUAUAGAAUGCAUUACCCACUUAGUUGCUGGGAGUAUUCAAGUAAUGCUUAUAAAGAAUUUAGCACAGUGCUUGACACUAGGUGUUACUUUAAUAAGUGUUACUCAUAGUGCUUGUAAUGUGAGGGGCACAGAAGGGUGGAAUAUAGUGUGUUGUUCACAAGUCUUUUGAUCAGUCUCCAUCUAGCUUUUGAACAUAAAUAAACUGUGCUCCUGGUGGCUCAACUGUUGGGAGUCGGGUAUAUGCUGCCCUUGGAAAUUCAUCAGCUGAUAAAUUAUCUCCACUUUAGGGAGAACACUAGUUAUUUCUGAGAGCAGGUACACCUGUUGGUGCUCAGGGGCUCUAAGUGUGAAAUGUCCUAGCCUCCACAUCAGACCUCGCCAUUUCUUUUCAAACUUGCCUAAGCACUGAUGAUUGUGGCUCUUGGGAGACACUUCCUUCUAUGUGCCAGCCCAUUCACAUGGUUCCUGAAACUUUCCCCUUUAUAUUAUCCCUAUUCCAUGCUGCAUAAAAGUAAUAGCUCCUACCUCCGAAAGGAGAGCUUCCCACAGACAAGCCACCACUCUCUAGAUACACCCACAUUUUCCUGCUCCCUCCACACCACAGUCUCUACCUUACCAUCUUCCAUUCUCCAUAAAGUCUACUCUAACCAACCUUCCCUCCCCUCAACUCCUGGGAGCUGCUUUACCAAGGUCAUUGGUAACACCUAUAGUGUAGAACCAAUCGGCUACACUAGAUCUCCGUCUUUCACAGGUCUUUGAAAACCCACCCUCUCCUGGCUGCUGUCUCAUUAUACUCUCUGGUCUGCUGCCCCUCUCUAGCCGUUCCCACCAGGCUCUUCUGCUGGUACCUUGUCUCUGUUCGAUUUCUGAACAUUGCAGUACCUAUGUCAUAGGCCUGUGAAUCUUAAAUCUAUGUCUCCAAGACCACCUUACUAAUGAGGUUCAGACUUAUACUUGAACUCCCUUUUUGUAGCCUCCCUCAGCUGCUCUGUGAUCAGCCCAAACUAGUAUGGCUGAAGAGACUGUUUAAGCUUCCCUUCAAAACGUCAUCAUUCCCACCCACUUAGAGUCACUAUCCACCUACUUGCUUAAUGGCUCCUGUUGAGUCUCUAUCAGUGUCUUACACAUCAGCUGUGACCAGCCCAUAAUGGCUAUAGGAAUGGAGGGAUGCCCAACAAAGACAUUUCUUAGAGCCGAGAUUGCCUCUUAACAAUGCUCCCUGCCCUAUGUCAUGCAUGGCCACUCCUGCAUAGCAUUUAUUUCAGAAUGCUGCACGGACAAUUGCUGAGGACCUGCUGUCUUUGACUUGUGAUGCAACAGCUGUCAUGCACAGUUUUGUUCAUUAGGAAUCUAAAGUCACCUUUCAAACUUAAGAGCCACCAUCCCUGGUUGUCUAACGUGGACCAUGCUCGCCCUUCCUGUGCUCCAUUCUCUCCUUAAGGAAAGAAAAAAACACUAUGGUAAUGAAAUGUGUUACCUGUCUUGUCAACUUCUUUUGGGAGAAAAUCUGACUUAGGGGAGAAGGGGAGGCAGAAGGGUGGACUGGCGCUCCAAAGUUAUAAGUAGAUAGAAGAAAUAACUUCUGGAAUCCUGUCCCAUAUCAAUGAUGUAUCAUGUGGUGGGUUUUUGUUCUUGGUUUUAUUGUUUUGGUUUGGUUUUUGUGGGUUUGUGUUAUAUAAACAUUUUUAUAUAAAUCAAUGGUAGGUGUUUGAAGAGAGAGAUGAACAUUGCAUAUAUAGAAACAUAUCACAGCUCUCCUUGAGUAUGUACUGUGUUCAUAUAUUAGUCAACAGUUGCAAAACCGAACUGGGAUUUAAAUAAAACCAUUGAAAA